ACGGGAGGCAGCAGUAGGGAAUCUUCCGCAAUGGACGAAAGUCUGACGGAGCAACGCCGCGUGAACGAAGAAGGCCUUCGGGUCGUAAAGUUCUGUUGUUAGGGAAGAACAAGUACCAGAGUAACUGCUGGUACCUUGACGGUACCUAACCAGAAAGCCACGGCUAACUACGUGCCAGCAGCCGCGGUAAUACGUAGGUGGCAAGCGUUGUCCGGAAUUAUUGGGCGUAAAGCGCGCGCAGGUGGUUCUUUAAGUCUGAUGUGAAAGCCCACGGCUCAACCGUGGAGGGUCAUUGGAAACUGGGGAACUUGAGUGCAGAAGAGGAAAGUGGAAUUCCAAGUGUAGCGGUGAAAUGCGUAGAGAUUUGGAGGAACACCAGUGGCGAAGGCGACUUUCUGGUCUGUAACUGACACUGAGGCGCGAAAGCGUGGGGAGCAAACAGGAUUAGAUACCCUGGUA
This 459-nucleotide ribosomal RNA is filed under the name uncultured Bacillus sp. RNAcentral's name for it is "partial 16S ribosomal RNA". It matches the Rfam family "Bacterial small subunit ribosomal RNA", at positions 341 to 792 of the family's 1533-position model. The record is from RNAcentral. Lineage: Bacteria; Bacillati; Bacillota; Bacilli; Caryophanales; Bacillaceae.